CUUAACAUUAAUAAGAGUGACGGGCGAUAUGUGCAUGUCUAAUUUCUUUUUCAAUUUUCUUUUUUUUAAUUAAAAUUUUUUAUUAAGUUCUAUUUCUUUUGAUUUUAAUUUUCUAAUUAAAUUUUAAAUUUAUGUGUCCCACAAUCUCUAUCAUAUAACUUUUGUCUUGAUUUAUUUUAAUAUUACUACAUUAAUUUUUUAGAGUUAAUUUAUAUUAUUUCUUUAAAAUAAUGAUAUAAAAAGUUAAAAUGUUGUUAGUUCAUUUAAUCGUGGAUUAUCGAUUAUGUUACAGGACUCCCUAAGUAGAUUUUACACUGCCAAUCUAUUUAGAUUUAGUUUAUUUAACUACUAUCUAUUUUUAAUUUAAAA
This 369-nucleotide ribosomal RNA is filed under the name Stenacis thunbergii. RNAcentral describes it as "partial small subunit ribosomal RNA". Lineage: Eukaryota; Metazoa; Arthropoda; Arachnida; Trombidiformes; Eriophyidae. The record is from RNAcentral.